AGAGCGAACGCUGGCGGCAGGCUUAACACAUGCAAGUCGAGCGGGCGUAGCAAUACGUCAGCGGCAGACGGGUGAGUAACGCGUGGGAACGUACCUUUUGGUUCGGAACAACACAGGGAAACUUGUGCUAAUACCGGAUAAGCCCUUACGGGGAAAGAUUUAUCGCCGAAAGAUCGGCCCGCGUCUGAUUAGCUAGUUGGUGAGGUAAUGGCUCACCAAGGCGACGAUCAGUAGCUGGUCUGAGAGGAUGAUCAGCCACAUUGGGACUGAGACACGGCCCAAACUCCUACGGGAGGCAGCAGUGGGGAAUAUUGGACAAUGGGCGCAAGCCUGAUCCAGCCAUGCCGCGUGAGUGAUGAAGGCCCUAGGGUUGUAAAGCUCUUUUGUGCGGGAAGAUAAGUGACGGUACCGCAAGAAUAAGCCCCGGCUAACUUCGUGCCAGCAGCCGC
RNAcentral lists this ribosomal RNA (449 nucleotides) under uncultured bacterium. RNAcentral describes it as "SSU rRNA". It matches the Rfam family "Bacterial small subunit ribosomal RNA", at positions 26 to 518 of the family's 1533-position model. The record is from RNAcentral.